CCUACGGGAGUCAGCAGUAGGGAAUCUUUCACAAUGGGCGAAAGCCUGAUGGAGCAACGCCGCGUGCAGGAUGAAGGCCUUCGGGUUGUAAACUGCUUUUAUAAGCGAGAAAUAUGAUGGUAACUUAUGAAUAAGGAUCGGCUAACUACGUGCCAGCAGCCGCGGUCAUACGUAGGAUCCGAGCAUUAUCCGGAGUGACUGGGUGUAAAGAGUUGCGUAGGUGGCAUAAUAAGUAGCUAGUGAAAUCUGGUGGCUCAACCAUUCAGACUAUUAGCUAAACUGUUAAGCUCGAGACCGUUAGGGGUAACUGGAAUGUCUAGUGUAGGAGUGAAAUCCGUAGAUAUUAGAAGGAACACCAAUAGCGUAGGCAGGUUGCUGGGACGGUUCUGACACUAAGGCACGAAAGCGUAGGGAGCAAACGGGAUUAGAUACCCUAGUAGUC
RNAcentral lists this ribosomal RNA (442 nucleotides) under uncultured bacterium. Its description in RNAcentral is "partial 16S ribosomal RNA". It matches the Rfam family "Bacterial small subunit ribosomal RNA", at positions 338 to 795 of the family's 1533-position model. The record is from RNAcentral.